AACCUAUUGAACAGAAACAUAUGAUUAAUAAAACCAACACAGUGCCUCUUUAUUUUGAGACAAACAGAAACAUAUAAAGAGUUGUAAAAUGCAGAGAUUAUCUUUGUUCUUGAGGUUACACUUUCCGUCUGGACUGCUUACAAAUAACUACUCUUCUACAUUUUUAUAUCUUCCAUUCUCUAGGCAUUCAAGACAUCUUUGUAAUGUAAAUGUUCUUGCUAAAAAAGUAAUUAAACAUCAUUAGCAGACAUAGCAAAUCAAGCUGAUAGUUUCUGAUAGGUCUAUAUAGGUAAUUAAAACGGCUUCAAUCAUUAAGUGGUCGCACUUAAUGAAGAAAAAUAUCACUUUGUAGACGUUCCCUAGGCUUCUCUCAGCACCCAGUUGGAUAUUCAACAGACAUUCGCAACAAGGUAGGACAUUUCAACGAUACUAGGAUAUUUUAAGUGAUUGUGAAAAAUGUAGGUUAUAGGCAAGACACUUGGUAAUUAGAAAUUGCUAAGAUUAAACUUCUGGCAUGUCUACUAAGAAAGUUAUUGACCCCGGAAGUCCGAAUGUCUGAAUAUCAAACCAACUUUACCGCAGUGAAGAGAAGACGGGUGCACAAUCCCAAGAUUGCGGUAAGAAUAAUUUUAUGUAUAAGCAUAUUUUUUGAAGUAGCCCAAGCUGUGUGUUUUAUAACUAAGAGGUGUUUUUUGUCUUGUAAUUUUUAGGAGGCUGUACGGCGUCUCUGAGGCACACUGCAGGCGCUAUGAACCAGAGCAAAGACUAACAUCGCCUCAUAACAAAGCCGUGACCUCCGAUUUGCUUGGUGCAAUUUCAGCAAGUCCAGAUUUACUGCUGAGAAUGACGACAUUGUUUCUGCCUGUAAGACGUAUUAUGAGUCGGUACGCCGGAGCUUCAGAUACAAACAACCUGAACUCGCAUCGCAGGCGGAAAAUGCGAAAAGUUUAGCUCGGAGUCGAUCCAGAAGAAAAAGGUUGCUGGAAGCGAGACGAAGUGUGCUGGCUGAGGAUGAGAUGGACAUUUGGAAGUGCGCCACCAUAGAUCUCAUAUCUGAUGAGGAAGACGGCAUUGUUGACGGGGUGUCUGGAUGGAUUGUGCGGCCACCGCCCUCUCUCAGCCUGGAACUCACAAGUUAACCCACAAACGAAGAAGAAACAGCUACUUCUUGUGUAUGAUUUGAGAAGACCAGCAAUGAUGGAAGUAAAUAAACAGCGACUUUUGUUGCAGUUUGAGUUAAAUCACUCCUCAACUUGGCCAUUUCACCGUCGCAAACGGAAAUACCUAUGACGCAGUUUUUUACCUGAGGUGGGGGGGUUCUGGUGAACCAAUCGCGGCACUUGCGGUCCGCGUAGAACUGAUGCGUAGUGAAAAUUUUGUGAGGUGCACAUCAAGCUAUGCAGAGCUACGAACAGACUUUGGAUAGCCUACGCGGUAGCUACGGCGUAGAACUUACGCAGGACAAUAAAUUGGGCUUAACGGUUGCUUAGUGAUUUUUACAUUCUUGGUUACGGCGGUGUGACAGCAAAAUUCCGGUCGCCGUAGCUGUUCCAUUACCAGCUGUUGCUUAAAGUCCCUAUUAAUGCAACGGAACAAGUUCAAGGACUCUGUCACUUGAUCACGUACACAUCGCAACUCUCUUCCUGAGAGUUAGUUGUUGUAUUUUGACUGGUUAAUAAACAAGUUUUGCAAGUGUGCGAACGUUGCUUUCUUCCGCUAUUUUGUAUGGAAGUCAAUGGGAGGUCAAGUAGUUUUCCCCAAAAAAUGGCCGUGAACCUGUUCAGAGACAUUAUAAGACGUUGCGCCGGUUGUGCGUAUUUCACAAGUGCUUCCGUGUUGAAUGGUCAUAAAUUAACCAUUUUCCUGCCAGCGUUUAAAAAAAAGUUGCCAGUGCCAGCAUUUUUUAUGAUUUUCACAGAAAAUGUUCUUCUUUAAGUAUAUAAACAUACAAUAUAUCAAAUGAAAGAACAGACCAUCUGCUUUCAAACAAACAAAAAAGUUUUAUCUUACCUUUAUUUGUUCUCUUUCCUUGUUAUCACCUCUCAAAUAUGGGUAGGUUUCUUCAAUAAAAAACACAAUUUUGGGCAAAAAGCUAAAAUAAUUAAAUUUUUCGGAAGGACUUUUGAUCAGAUCAGAUUUAGAGCGAUGAUCAAAACAUACAGAGAGUUUGAACUUUUUGCGCUAAGGGCAUACUUCUGGUUUUAGAUGUUGGGUAAAAG
Long non-coding RNA from Paramisgurnus dabryanus, 2219 nucleotides. RefSeq lists it as uncharacterized. NCBI's taxonomy places the organism in Eukaryota, Metazoa, Chordata, Actinopteri, Cypriniformes, Cobitidae. The record is from RefSeq and is a predicted model, not a curated record.